Long non-coding RNA from Pleuronectes platessa (European plaice), 4265 nucleotides. RefSeq lists it as uncharacterized. The transcript has 2 exons. The record is from RefSeq and is a predicted model, not a curated record. Lineage: Eukaryota; Metazoa; Chordata; Actinopteri; Pleuronectiformes; Pleuronectidae.
GCGGUUUCGCGGACAUGUGAAGAGACUCUAUGAGAACAACCUGCUGGAAAGGUGGUCAAAUCUAUUAAAGUCUUCAAAGAUAACCGCUGAAUGUUGCCACCAGAAGACCCUGACCACUGUGCGAGAGACUGUAACACGACAAGGCUGAAAAGGAGAUCCACUGGACUUAUUUUUCACGUAUCCCAGAGACUGCACAGAGGAUGAGGCAUGGCUUGAGGCAGAGGCGGAGGAGACUCCAGAUUCAGGUGAACGCACCCCCAACACCACACGUACAAACAUUACAAAGAAUUGUUUAACAUGGCAAAAAGCAAGUGGAUCUGAAGUUUUACCUGAAAUAUCUCUACAGGUAGCAGGCAAAAUAUCUCAUUUCUGGUUGAUUCUGGGGACGCAAAACAACAUUAUCUUCCAAAAUUGGUUGGUAUAUAUAUUUUCACUGUUGGGGCAUCAGGCACCAAAAUUAAAUAAUCAUAUACCACACCACGGUCUGUUACCAAAACAGAUGGGGAUAUAAAAUACAUGUUGACUUGAAAAUUUGUUAGGAGGACACCAAAUGUGGUCUUAGGCUUGAUUUUUACAUUGUAAACAGGAAGGGGUUUAAGUCACCAGAACAUGAGAUAUCCAUAGUGAAUAUGUACAACCAGAUCAUGGUUAGCCACUGUACCUACACCAAUGGGACCUGUUACCCACUGGGCCAAGGUAUAUAACCUCAGAUCUGCUUGAAAUAGCACACACACACACACACACUGCGUCAUGCAAGUAUCUGACUUACAUUGCACAGCAACAGUUAGUGAAGGAACAGACAUUAAAAAAAAAAACUGGUUCCAGGAAGAUUAAAGAAAGCAAUUGUAUUAGUAGUGAUUGGGUGUAUUAUGAUAAUAGAUUGUAAGCAUCGACUGUUGUGUUGACCCCACAAUAGGCAAAUCUUUAAUAUACUUAACCCAUCACCAGAUAUAUUUCUAGCUAAAGCAAAUGAUGUGCAGUGGGAAAAUUUGGCACACAUGGUCACUGAGUGUUCACAAGAUUGUAAAUGGGAGGAUAGGGGAGAAGGAAUUCAAUAUUCUUCCUCAAUGCAAACACACAGAUGCCCAUUUUCAGAGCAUUUUUAUGGGGGAAAACAAAAAUGUGUAUUUAGAACAAACCGCUAAAUUUAAACAAAAGGUUUGCAGUUUAACAAUUGACUCUUCAGAGUUACAAAAAGUGCAACAAAAUGUAUGGACUAAUGAUAAGUAUGAUCUGGGAUUAUUUUAAACUGAACAUCUCAAUGUGACACCAAAGAGCACAUAACGUUAAUGUUCGAGCGCACAUCCACUCAAUCCAGAAGCAGCAGCAGGUAUAACACCAGAAUUUUAAAACUGGUAGAAAACCGGAGUCAUCAUUCCAUGUGCACACUCACCAGUAAGAAUGCCUAUUAAAUAAAUUAAAAUAAAACAAAAAAGAGAGGAUAAUAUAAAAGAUUCUCUGGUUCCACCAGAAAGCAUGUAGUUUUUGUUUAUUUUGAAUUGUUUAUUUUGCUAAUGCAUUUUUCAGUGUCCCAGUUCAUCCACACUCUCAGUAUUGGUUUGCUUUCACAAUUCCGGAUAAAUCAUAUACGUUCAGACGUAUGUCCAAAAGUUUUGUGGAAUCCCGCGCAGUCAGGUCACGGGUUAUGCAAGUGAGUCUGGAGGACUUGGCAUUACCAGCGGUAAGCAAGUGAGUCUGGAGGACUUGGCAUUACCAGCGGUAAGCGCGCUGAUAUAAAUGUUGAUGAUUCGAUGAUUUGUUCACCAACAACACAGGCCUUUAAAGUCGACACAGUAGCAGGCUAAAAUAUCUUGCAGACCAGGGCCACGAGGCCAGCCUGGCUAAGCUGCAAUUUGUCCAGAAAAGUGUAACUUUCCUAGGACACAAAAUUUCUAGUAGCGGUAAAAACAUUGAGCUCAAACGAGUGGAAGCCAUCCUAAAGAUUCUAACACCGCGUUCUAAAAAACAAUUAAUGUAAUUUUUUUAGGGAUGACGGACUACUGUAAACAGUGGAUCUGUGAUUAUGCAUCCCUGGAGGCUCCACUCCUGUAUGUUAUGCAUGGCCAAGGACUGACACCAACCGACAACCUGACGUGAAUGACAGACGCUGACACAGCAUUUACCUAACUACAACAGACUGACUUCGACACCUACACUGGGACCACCAGAUCAAAACAGAUCAUUUACACAGACUGUAAAUGAGAAACGGGGUUUCAUGACAACAGUUUAGUGCAAACGACCAGUGGCGUAUUUCUCCUCAAAGAAAUUAGAUAGCUUGGCAUAGGGUCAGCCUCUCUGUCUAAGAGCAGAAUGAUAUCAAGAGGUCACAUUGUUAAUGCCAUAUUCUGGAUCGUCCAUUCUGCUAGAGCAGCAACCUAAUUCUAUUAACAGCCAUUUUACUCUGUAAAGUGUGAAGCUCACACUAAAGGUGAUUCUGUUUUUUCAACAGGUAAUGCUCAAGCAGAUACAGUAGCAGAGGAAGCGGCAACUAACCAACAUAUUGUCAUUGAUAUUCCUUUUUCCUUUCUCUCACAGAUUUAGCAGAAGCACAGAGCCAUGCUAACAACAUAGAGAAAGCAGAAUGUAAAUGUUUUAACAAUGUAUGUCAAUCUAAGGACGGCCGUCCAUGUGUGUUUAAAUGUUUAUUUGUUGUUUUGUUUGUUUCUGUUUUAUUGAAAAUUGUCUGGUUUCCAAAACUACUCUUUUACGUUUUAUUUCAAAAUGUUUACAUUUUCUGACAGGCAACACUACAGGAGGCCAGGACGUACAACCCCCUGGCCAACCGAUUGAUCGCUUGCAAAUGGAUUUCAUUGAACUAACACCAUGUGAAGGAAAGGAGCAUUGUCAUGUGGCUGUUGACAUAUAUUCCCUACAGGUAAAUGCAGCAAUCCCGCAACCAGCAGAGGGCCAGUUGCAUAAUUGGAAACCAGGAGACUGGGUGCUGAUAUAAGUCCGCCACUUGAGACGGAGGCCCAGGGAGAAAGUGUCGCUUCCCUCACAGACAAGGAACAAAGCAGAAGAAAGACGACAGCUCUCACUGAGGUGUAAAACCAUACCAACAACCAACAGCUGUUGCAGAUAAAGGAAGAAACGGCGAGAAAGAGACAGAAGGAACUAAAAAAAAAAAGAAAAAAAAAAAGAGAAGAAAGACCAGUACCAACUCAUCAUAAACCAACCCAACAGUAAAAUGGACAUCAUUUAUUUUAUCUUAUAAUUAUUUAACAGAGCGCACAGACCAAGUGAGUUCAAAACUGACUGUAGAAAAUAUCCAAAUUCAAGAUCAUUGUGCAUGCAAUGCUCCAACCACAUGUAGAAUUCCUAGCUCUGCCUGCUAGCUUCAAUGACACAGAAUGCUGGCCAGUAAGUAAUCCAGAAUAUACUUUUUGCGUCAUGGCAGGAAUGUGGAUAGCACCGUGGAAAACUCAAACCCAAAUAAUGUUCUUAGAAUUUAAAUCUGAAUUAUUGUUCAAAGCCUAUAUUUUCAUCUAAAUCCUCAGCCCGCAACUGCUCAGUCGCUUGGCAUCCUCUGCCAGUGCAUCCUAUGUCAAAUGUUUCUUCUGUGUACAGGAUCCUAGCCAAAUAAUUACAGCAAAUGCUUAUUUAAAUCAAACAAAAACUGUUUCUUUUAACAGACAGUCUGCACUGCCAGAGAAGGUGUAUUUAGUCUGUGGGGACCAGUGUUACAGCUGCUUACCAAGAGAAUCCCACAGUCGUUUGUUCAUGUUUUUGAUUGCCAUUUCUGUUAUCACUUGUAAGAUUGGUCUGAUAUGCAAAAAAUGCACUUAGGCCAUUGUUACCACUAUUGAAAUUGACCUCUAGCCUAUCUUAGACUGGAUUCCACCAUAUGAUGACGUUGAUAAUAUAUCACACAACUGAAGUACCCUCAAUCGUCAACUUCGGACAGAGUGGGAUUUCCCCCACCUUAUAAAGUGUUAUUGAUCCAUAAUGAUCAAAAUGACGGAUUGUAAGGGAAAUGUAACAUGUGACCAUAAUAUAAUCAUGUUUAUGUAUACUUGGAUUGAUCAUCAUUGAAUCUCUAACAAAUGUAACUUUGAUGUUGCUGUUUCCUGUAGAACUGAGUGAGUGUUGGCCUGAUUACUCCAGUCACAGUAAUCUAAUUAGUCCGGACACAGUGUGAUAGUAAUUAGCUAUUCAGGCAUUAUGAUUGAUGUAAGGAACUACUUUGAUGUUCCUUACACAAACUCACCUAACAAAGACCUUACAGCACGGGGGAUUUGUGGUGGUUGUAGACACUAAGAAGGGAU